UACGUAGGGUGCGAGCGUUAAUCGGAAUUACUGGGCGUAAAGCGUGCGCAGGCGGUUCGCCAAGUCAGGUGUGAAAUCCCCGGGCUUAACCUGGGAAUUGCGCUUGAAACUAGCGGGCUUGAGUGUGGCAGAGGGGGGUGGAAUUCCACGUGUAGCAGUGAAAUGCGUAGAGAUGUGGAGGAACACCGAUGGCGAAGGCAGCCUCCUGGGCCAACACUGACGCUCAUGCACGAAAGCGUGGGGAGCAAACAGG
RNAcentral lists this ribosomal RNA (253 nucleotides) under uncultured bacterium. RNAcentral describes it as "partial 16S ribosomal RNA". It matches the Rfam family "Bacterial small subunit ribosomal RNA", at positions 524 to 776 of the family's 1533-position model. The record is from RNAcentral.